Gopherus flavomarginatus (Mexican gopher tortoise) is the source of this 1187-nucleotide long non-coding RNA. RefSeq lists it as uncharacterized. NCBI's taxonomy places the organism in Eukaryota, Metazoa, Chordata, Testudines, Testudinidae. The record is from RefSeq and is a predicted model, not a curated record. The transcript is spliced from 2 exons.
UGGGCACACCAGUGGCACGCAAUUAAAAAAAAAACAUAAAAAUAAUUACCUACUUGCAAAAUCUGCAAAAACAUUUAAAUUAAAUACACUUGCAGGUAGCAGCCAAAUUGAAAAAUCCAAACAAAAGGCAAAGGCUUACUUUAACAAAAACCAAAACAAAAAACAAAAAAAAAUCUUAAGUUAAAAAAUUAGCGUUGUUAUUGUAUAAAUCACCGAAACAUGGGCUGUGUAACCAAUAAAUCGAACCCUUACGAAUCAUCGAUAAACUCAAUUCAGCAGUGUAUAAAAUUAAAAUAACAAAAGGCAAGUGUAAUAAAAACACAAUCUAUUAUACUAAUCAGCAGUUUCCUGCUCAAAACAUAAGUAAACAGCAUCCAACAAAAUCGCAACAACUAAAGCCCAGCAAAUUGCAACCAUAAAAUAAACAUUAAUAUUUCUAAUUUUACUACAUUAUCGUUGCUCUAAGGGUAAAACUAAGCCAAAAUCACAAAUUUAAAACUAAACUGUUACCGCCCCAUAAAACCAAACAACAUGGUCGUGCUCAAUUGCCAGAGCACGUAAAAUAAAACAAACCUACACAAAAAAAAGCAAUUUACUGUUUAUAAUAUGCAUAACAUAACCCAACUGUUUAAUAAAACCCAAUGUAAAAUUAAUCAGCUAAUCAUUUUAAACAAUCAGCACAAAAUUCAUUUUAAAAAAAGAUAUGUUCUGCAUAUGAAAAAUUUCAUAAAUGCAAUCACUAAUGUAUUACAACCCUUAAAAUUAACAAAGGUUCCCAACUUAAUUAAAAAUAAGCAACUAUUAAGUUGGUACUAUCCCCACGUGUUUUCAAAAUCUAAAAAAAAUCCUAAUCCACAUGUUUAAAUUCAUGCCAGCAUUUGGCAGCGGGUGCUAUAAAAAAAAAUAAAAUCUUAUUUAAUCCAAACAAAAAUGUGUACAGGCAAUUGGCUGCUGUACAUUCUAUAGGUCACCUCAAAAACAUCAUCUAUAAAAAAACGCAUUAAUGCACCUCUCCUGGUGGUCUGUCACAUUCCAACUCAAACUUGAAAAGUGCCACAAAUGUUGCUCUUUUUAAUUAAAAAAAAAAAAAAAAAGCCUCAGUACAUCUGUAUUUGUAAUGUGUUUAAAACAAACACUGUUCUGUGUAAACUACCAAAAAAAAAAAAAAAAAAGGUACAAAAUUCGUC